ACGUAGGGUGCAAGCGUUAUCCGGAAUUAUUGGGCGUAAGGAGCUCGUAGGCGGUUUGUCGCGUCUGCUGUGAAAACUGGAGGCUCAACCUCCAGCCUGCAGUGGGUACGGGCAGACUAGAGUGCGGUAGGGGAGAUUGGAAUUCCUGGUGUAGCGGUGGAAUGCGCAGAUAUCAGGAGGAACACCGAUGGCGAAGGCAGAUCUCUGGGCCGUAACUGACGCUGAGGAGCGAAAGCAUGGGGAGCGAACAGGAUUAGAUACCCUGGUAGUCCAUGCCGUAAACGUUGGGAACUAGAUGUAGGGACCAUUCCACGGUUUCUGUGUCGCAGCUAACGCAUUAAGUUCCCCGCCUGGGGAGUACGGCCGCAAGGCUA
Molecule: ribosomal RNA, 374 nt
Filed under: uncultured bacterium
Lineage: Bacteria
Description: bacterial SSU rRNA
Rfam family: Bacterial small subunit ribosomal RNA
Source: RNAcentral